RNAcentral lists this ribosomal RNA (257 nucleotides) under uncultured Bacteroidota bacterium. RNAcentral describes it as "uncultured Bacteroidetes bacterium partial 16S ribosomal RNA". Lineage: Bacteria; Pseudomonadati; Bacteroidota. The record is from RNAcentral.
GAGUUUGAUCAUGGCUCAGGAUGAACGCUAGCGGCAGGCUUAAUACAUGCAAGUCGAGGGGCAGCAGCUUUAUAGCAAUAUAGAGGCUGGCGACCGGCAAACGGGUGCGGAACACGUACACAACCUUCCUUGAAUAGGGGGAUAGCCCAUAGAAAUGUGGAUUAAUACCCCGUAAUAUAGCGGUGUGGCAUCACACUGUUAUUAUAGUUUCGGCGAUUCMAGAUGGGUGUGCGGCUGAUUAGGUARUUGGCGGGGUA